Molecule: ribosomal RNA, 497 nt
Filed under: uncultured bacterium
Lineage: Bacteria
Description: partial 16S ribosomal RNA
Rfam family: Bacterial small subunit ribosomal RNA
Source: RNAcentral
GAUGAACGCUGGCGGCGUGCCUAAUACAUGCAAGUCGAGCGAACAGACGAGGAGUUUGCUCCUCUGACGUUAGCGGCGGACGGGGGAGUAACACGUGGAUAACCUACCUAUAAGACUGGGAUAACUUCGGGAAACCGGAGUUAAUAGCGGAUAAUAUAUUGAACCGCAUGGUUUAAUAGUGAAAGACGGUUUUGCUGGCACUUAUAGUUGGAUCCGCGCCGCAUUAGCUAGUUGGUAAGGUAACGGCUUACCAAGGCAACGAUGCGUAGCCGACCUGAGAGGGUGAUCGGCCACACUGGAACUGAGACACGGUCCAGACGCCUACGGGAGGCAGCAGUAGGGAAUCUUACGCAAUGGGCGGAAGCCUGACGGAGCAACGCCGCGUGAGUGAUGAAGGUCUUCGGAUCGUAAAACUCUGUUAUUAGGGAAGAACAAAUGUGUAAGUAACUAUGCACGUCUUGACGGUACCUAAUCAGAAAGCCACGGCUAACUACGUG